UACGUAGGGUGCAAGCGUUGUCCGGAAUUAUUGGGCGUAAAGAGCUCGUAGGUGGUUUGUCGCGUUGUUCGUGAAAACUCACAGCUUAACUGUGGGCGUGCGGGCGAUACGGGCAGACUAGAGUACUGCAGGGGAGACUGGAAUUCCUGGUGUAGCGGUGGAAUGCGCAGAUAUCAGGAGGAACACCGGUGGCGAAGGCGGGUCUCUGGGCAGUAACUGACGCUGAGGAGCGAAAGCGUGGGGAGCGAACAGG
RNAcentral lists this ribosomal RNA (253 nucleotides) under uncultured bacterium. RNAcentral describes it as "partial 16S ribosomal RNA". It matches the Rfam family "Bacterial small subunit ribosomal RNA", at positions 524 to 776 of the family's 1533-position model. The record is from RNAcentral.